This 948-nucleotide long non-coding RNA is filed under the name Olea europaea (common olive). RNAcentral describes it as "long non-coding RNA (OEUR_LNC010428)". Lineage: Eukaryota; Viridiplantae; Streptophyta; Magnoliopsida; Lamiales; Oleaceae. The record is from RNAcentral.
CUAGUUAUAAGCUCACAAAUGAUUUCAAGAGAGAACAAAUCUGCAACGAAACAUAAAUUUCAAGAUCAACAAAUACAUAGUUGUUGAUGCAGUAAUAAAUGGGUGCAGCCAUAACAUAAAAUGUGUCUUCUGAUUUAGUUUCUAAUGCAAUAUUGUUUUGUUGGAUCAGGAAAAUAUGUCAUUGGUAUAAAUUAUAGCCUAUUUCUACAGUCAUCCGGACGCGGCAAUCGGUAAAGCUAGUCUGUAAAAGAUUUCUUUAUCUACAACACCAAACUAUGCAGAAAAACUGCACAUAGUGCAGCUGAUACCCACCAAACAUAUCCAUCAAAAAAUCAUCUUAGAUCACUUAAAGGCUUCAACAGCUACAUUCAGCUUUUAUCUCGGUAGAAAGUUCACUAUCAAAUCAAUAUCCAACCAGAUCAUUUUCCCGGAUCAGAAUGUCUUCCAGCGACAUUACUAAAACUCCAGCAGUCAACAAUGAACUAGUUUCUUCAGUAUUUAUCAUCAAUCAUAACUUCGAGACUACCUAAAAGUUCAUGGAACGCACUCUCCUCAGAAUCCUUGGAGGUCUCUUCCCCUCUACCACUGGAAUCAAGUUCUCCAUGAGCUGCACGUAAAAUAGAAACAAAAGAAAUGGGAAAAGAAUGUUAAAGAUGCAGUAAAGAAUUCAAUAUAUGUUGGUUGAAAUGAAUAGAAGUAGAAUCGACUUCCAUGAUAGAAUUGCAUAUGUGAGUACCCAAGUAUGGGGCUUCAGGAGACACUGACAUCUCAUCCGUCAAGAUAAAAUUCAAAAAUCAGGUGCCAAUCUUAAAGGCCGGAUAAUUAUAUUUCACAUUCUAGGAGAUUUUUUAUUUCUAAGAGUCACAAUUCAGAUCCAUUGUUACAAAGGAUUGUGAGAUUACAGAAAUGAUACAGUGCACGACCUUAGAAACAAUCAGCCUUUUGUAC